UACAGAGGGUGCAAACGUUGUUCGGAAUUACUGGGCGUAAAGCGCGCGUAGGCGGCCGCUUAAGUCGGAUGUGAAAGCCCCUGGCUCAACUGGGGAAGUGCACCCGAAACUGAGUGGCUUGAGUACUAAAGAGGGUCGCGGAAUUCCCGGUGUAGAGGUGAAAUUCGUAGAUAUCGGGAGGAACACCGGUGGCGAAGGCGGCGACCUGGGUAGAUACUGACGCUGAGGCGCGAAAGCGUGGGGAGCAAACAGG
RNAcentral lists this ribosomal RNA (253 nucleotides) under uncultured bacterium. RNAcentral's name for it is "partial 16S ribosomal RNA". It matches the Rfam family "Bacterial small subunit ribosomal RNA", at positions 524 to 776 of the family's 1533-position model. The record is from RNAcentral.